Molecule: ribosomal RNA, 201 nt
Filed under: uncultured bacterium
Lineage: Bacteria
Description: partial 16S ribosomal RNA
Rfam family: Bacterial small subunit ribosomal RNA
Source: RNAcentral
GCAGGCUGCAACCCGCCUGCGUGAAGUUGGAAUUGCUAGUAAUCGCGGAUCAGCAUGCCGCGGUGAAUACGUUCCCGGGCCUUGUACACACCGCCCGUCACACCAUGAGAGUCGGGAACACCCGAAGUCCGUAGUCUAACCGCAAGGAGGGCGCGGCCGAAGGUGGGUUCGAUAAUUGGGGUGAAGUCGUAACAAGGUAAC